GGACAGGUGCGAGAGUGGUUAUUCGGACAGCCUUGAAAGCUGUUGACCUUUGGUCGCGCAGGUUCGAAUCCUGUCCUGUCCG
This is a non-coding RNA of Cylindrotheca closterium, 82 nucleotides long. Lineage: Eukaryota; Bacillariophyta; Bacillariophyceae; Bacillariales; Bacillariaceae. The record is from the annotation of a GenBank genome assembly.